GGAGAGAUGGCCGAGUGGUUUAAGGCAGCGGUCUUGAAAACCGCCGUGGGUGAAAGCCCACCGUGGGUUCGAAUCCCACUCUCUCCGCCA
Molecule: transfer RNA, 90 nt
Filed under: Sphingomonas bacterium
Lineage: Bacteria; Pseudomonadati; Pseudomonadota; Alphaproteobacteria; Sphingomonadales; Sphingomonadaceae
Description: tRNA-Ser
Rfam family: tRNA
About the family: Transfer RNA (tRNA) molecules are approximately 80 nucleotides in length. Their secondary structure includes four short double-helical elements and three loops (D, anti-codon, and T loops).
Source: RNAcentral